Molecule: long non-coding RNA, 321 nt
Organism: Clupea harengus (Atlantic herring)
Lineage: Eukaryota; Metazoa; Chordata; Actinopteri; Clupeiformes; Clupeidae
Source: Ensembl
UGGCUGCUGUGUUGGGACUGUGUUUUGUGCUCAUAUGUUACUUGGUCAUUUUAAUUUACCAAGACAGGAACCACAAACAUGACAAAGCCAAUGCCAACCAUAGAGGCUACAACAAUAGAGAUGACCUUGAUCAUAUUACUGAACAGAUGCCAAUCUUGAUGAUUCCAGAUGGAAAUGUCUGCACAUCUGUUAUCUACAAAAUCAAGAACCUCUAAGUGUCUGCAAAGCAAUGAAAUGCUGCCCUUUCAGCUUUCAUAUCUGCUACCUGCUCCACCAAGUUAUCCACCAAGACACGCACACAUGCACACACGCACACACUCA